UAACCUCUGACGAGAACCGUGAAUGUUA
RNAcentral lists this non-coding RNA (28 nucleotides) under unclassified sequences. Its description in RNAcentral is "L19-Flavobacteria ribosomal protein leader". It matches the Rfam family "L19-Flavobacteria ribosomal protein leader". The record is from RNAcentral.